RNAcentral lists this ribosomal RNA (484 nucleotides) under uncultured bacterium. Its description in RNAcentral is "partial 16S ribosomal RNA". It matches the Rfam family "Bacterial small subunit ribosomal RNA", at positions 30 to 507 of the family's 1533-position model. The record is from RNAcentral.
AUUGAACGCUGGCGGCAGGCCUAACACAUGCAAGUCGAGCGGAUGAAGGGAGCUUGCUCCUGGAUUCAGCGGCGGACGGGUGAGUAAUGCCUAGGAAUCUGCCUGGUAGUGGGGGAUAACGUCCGGAAACGGGCGCUGAUACCGCAUACGUCCUGAGGGAGAAAGUGGGGGAUCUUCGGACCUCACGCUAUCAGAUGAGCCUAGGUCGGAUUAGCUAGUUGGUGGGGUAAAGGCCUACCAAGGCGACGAUCCGUAACUGGUCUGAGAGGAUGAUCAGUCACACUGGAACUGAGACACGGUCCAGACCCCUACGGGAGGCAGCAGUGGGGAAUAUUGGACAAUGGGCGAAAGCCUGAUCCAGCCAUGCCGCGUGUGUGAAGAAGGUCUUCGGAUUGUAAAGCACUUUAAGUUGGGAGGAAGGGCAGUAAGUUAAUACCUUGCUGUUUUGACGUUACCAACAGAAUAAGCACCGGCUAACUUCGUG